CUUUCUUUGGCUUCAAAAAACUGGGGACAAAGGCCCAAAACGAGAAAAGCUUUUGCGAAUACUGAAGCAGCACUUCCAGCAGUCUCCCACUUCUUCCAAAAUUAGUGAAGGAAGGCAGGCAGAAUGUGAGAGGUCAUUCAGCAAGCAGGGGGCGGAAGACUCUGAAGAGGAUGCAAAUAACAGGACUGUUUGAACUCGGAGCAACGGUACAGAACAAGAUUCAAAGGCUUCUGUAGUGAACAUUUCUUCAAUGACUCUAUCUGUACAUCAA
Molecule: long non-coding RNA, 271 nt
Organism: Protopterus annectens (West African lungfish)
Lineage: Eukaryota; Metazoa; Chordata; Ceratodontiformes; Protopteridae
Exons: 2
Source: RefSeq, a predicted model, not a curated record